This 35-nucleotide transfer RNA is filed under the name Actinobole uliginosum. Its description in RNAcentral is "partial tRNA-Phe". Lineage: Eukaryota; Viridiplantae; Streptophyta; Magnoliopsida; Asterales; Asteraceae. The record is from RNAcentral.
UCGGGAUAGCUCAGUCGGAAGAGCAGAGGACUGAA